RNAcentral lists this ribosomal RNA (174 nucleotides) under uncultured bacterium. RNAcentral's name for it is "partial 16S ribosomal RNA". It matches the Rfam family "Bacterial small subunit ribosomal RNA", at positions 1329 to 1500 of the family's 1533-position model. The record is from RNAcentral.
GAAUUGCUAGUAAUGGCAGGUCAGCAUACUGCCGUGAAUACGUUCCCGGGCCUUGUACACACCGCCCGUCACACCAUGAGAGUUAGGAAUACCCGAAGCCUGUGAGCCAACUUAUCCAAGAGGCAGCAGUCGAAGGUAGAACUAAUGAUUGGGGUGAAGUCGUAACAAGGUACC